Molecule: long non-coding RNA, 3168 nt
Filed under: Chinchilla lanigera (long-tailed chinchilla)
Lineage: Eukaryota; Metazoa; Chordata; Mammalia; Rodentia; Chinchillidae
Description: lncRNA (ENSCLAG00000023250.1)
Source: RNAcentral
GAUGCCUUCAGGAAACACAGCUCGGCGAGAUUCAUCUCAGAGCCACAGACUGCAUCGGCGCAUAACCUGCACGCUCACUGCAGACACCGCGACCAGCGCCAGCGUGGUGUUUAUCUCUGCUUUGCAGAAUGGCAGCAGUAGACUACCGCUGAACUUGGAAAUCACAGUAACUCCUCACUUGCAGAAAAUUUCUUUGACGACUACGUAGCGCGCGGGGGACGGGGGUGUCUCACAGAUUUAUUCUACUUUAAGAACUGACCUAGGAGGAGAAGAUAAGUUUUCUGAUCCUGCUUUCUUAAAUAAAUGUGGCCUGCAUUACCGUUUCCUGGUAAUUUUUAGGAUGCUAUAAUUGAUCAAUCCAUCUGUCAUAGAGGAAUUUUGUUAGCUUCAGAAUCCACUCUUUUUAAAACCUGCUGGAUAGUGUGAUUUUAUUCAGGAACUUCUUUCUUUUGUCCCCUCCCUGUGUCUCCUAACUCUGCGCCAGAGCCGGUGCUGGGGGCGGGUACGUCCCCCCUUUAACUUGUUUUGUUUUUCUUUUUUGAGAAAUCCUAUUUUCCCACAUUUGCCUAGUUACAGACGAGACCUGCGAACUGACUUCAAACUGAUUUUAUUUCCCCUAGAAAGAUAAAAUGUGGAGUCUAGUUUACAUGUGCUGGGCGCAGGAGGCGCAAGCAAAGGCCACCAGCUUUGGGCAGGAAACGUGGGGCGCCUUUAAGAGGAACCCGCGGUAAUUUUCCACUGCCCGCCUCAGCCGGGCCGACGCGGCAGGGGGCGGGGGCGGAGUGCGACUGCGCAGCUUGGCCCGCGCCUCCGUUGCCUGGAUACCACCGCCCCCGCCCUCCCUGCCUGGAGUCCUUCUGUUUCUAAGAUGGCGUCGGUACUCUAUUUUUAGGGCGCCAGGAACAAAGCGCGUCGCGCACCCUUGAGCUUAGCAGAAAGCAGUUGUGUGGCUGGCUUUAAGUGUGUUCACUGUCAGUAUUUACUCAUCUUACAGCCUUACAAAGGUCCAUUCAGCGAGAUGUUCUGGAGAGCACUCGGGAGGGCCGCAGCUGGCAGAGCCGAGGUCUCCUACCUCCGCUCAGGGCUGCAGGGUGGGUGCUAAUUUCGUGGUCCUUCGUAUUUGCUGCAUUUUGGUUGGCUGCGCGCACAAUACUGAGACUCCUGCAGCCGCCACAGGAGUCUCAGUUCCCACGGGCGCCCUCCGUCCUUCACAGCACGCGCACAGCGGAGGCUCCGCGCGCCGGGAACCGAGCCUCCGGGAGCCUCACCCGCGGCACCUGCGUCUGACGACGCUGUCUGCUGCGAGAAAGCGGAACUGUCUUUCAGGACUGACAUUCGAGAGAAGGUUGUCAGGCCCACUGCUCCCACCGUGCGAGUGCCGAGAUGAGUGAAUAAACACGCGCUUUCCCCCUGAAACACCCCGAGAUCGGUAAAUACCGGCGCGCUCGCCCCGAGUACAACACUGACGUUCUGUCUCGCACGAAACGGACGGAGACUGGCAAACCACGCUGCAGACAUCAUCACGCCGUCGCUGUUCGUAAUUCCAGAGAGUUGUUGCAGAAAGCUCUCGUUUUCAAGAAAGAACGUUAAGUUCUUUUUCCUCCCCGGCUCCUGGAGCCUAGAUUUACACUGUUUGAACAAGAAUUUUGUGUGGUUUAGCAGCAUCGAGGCUCUUUCUGAACAUCGGUGUGUUCUCAGCCCCUGAGUGCCUUUGCUGCCUGCGACAUAACGGGGACCGCAGGCAAGGUGUCCCUGUGCCUCGCACACGCAGGGACAUCAGCAGAUAAAACUCAAGGCCCGUAUCCCCUUCUCCUCGCCCGGGGUCUGAAAGUCGCUCGAUUGUUUUGCCUGGCCGUGUUAGUUCUUUCCGACCCCGCAGAACUAUUAGGGCUAGGAUAGGGGUAGUUCGAUUAGGAAAAAAACCUUAGCGAUGGUCCCGGCAUACUUCGCCCUUUAUAACUAACCACCAGCUUUCGUUUCAGGGCCUGUUACAAUUGCAGGACAAACAACUUGAGUUUGCCCUCAAGGGCAAACGACUUUUAUUUAUUACACUGGUGGCCACAUUAUUCUAGGUAGUCGGGGAAAAAAAAAAAUCAGCCGUGCACACUGCCUUUACUGGCGACAGCAGGAUGCGCUUGUCACCCACUAGAAAGGACUUAGACCCUUGAGGACCGCGAUCCAAUGAACGGACCCAGUAGGAAGGCACGGAAAGCGGUGUACUAAGCGGUGUGCUAACACGGGCCCAGCAAAAGCCCGACAGUUUAAUCCGGGCCUCUGCUGGGAGCUAGAGACCCUGCUGCCCGCAGCAAGGCUGGGCUCCCCCUGCGGCUCCGCACCAUCCUCCAGACAUUUCAGCCAACGCGCCAGACUGCAAGGCCCGCACGGCUCCGAACAGCGAAGCCGGCUCUUUGGCAAACACACGUCUUGAUUGUGAAGCAAAGGCGGCUCGCGCCGAGCGCUCCCGAGCCCUGGGCACUGCCACUCCCGCAAGCGCGCUGCGUCCCUGCGUCCUGUCCGCAGGAAGCCAGCCGUGCGGGUCCCUGCGGGUCUUCCUGAGCUUCCAAAGGCGAAGGCAAAUAUUUUGAUCCCUGACUUUACUGGCAGGAUACUGACGAUCCAAGAAAUCUACGCAGCUUGCUAAAUUACAGUGCAGACUCCAAGUGAUUUUGUGAUGUUGUUUCUUUCUAGUUCAGAAUCUGCAUGGGUGUCCAUGCACGGGACAGAGGAGACCUGUACAUCAGAGGAACCCGGUCAGCGCCGAGCCAGCCGCUGGCACUGCACAGCCGAUCGAUAUCGAUUCCGAUAAAGGCCUCUGCUACCAUUUUAUUAAGCGCCCUACUUAAUCUCCAUGUCCUGCGUCCACUCUCUUAAUAUCCACCGUCCUUGUACCUUUUCAAAGUCAGAGUGACGUGGAGUCUGUUCAGGGCUCUUCCUCAGUUUUGAUGAGGGCAGCCCUCCGUGGCGCGCGGACCUCUCAGACCCGAGUUAGAACCCGAGCCUACACCGGGAUUUCCCGGUUAUCUUUUUCUCCCCAGUUUCCUUUCUGAAUAGUUUAAACAUUUAAAAAUGUAGGUCAAUCAAAAGAAACUGAAAAAAAAUAAUCAAGCGUUGCAAGCGUUUUGUGUACAACACCCUUGCAGAAGGGUAGUAAAAUGUCUUUGGAGUGCG